This 936-nucleotide unclassified non-coding RNA is filed under the name Hevea brasiliensis (rubber tree). Lineage: Eukaryota; Viridiplantae; Streptophyta; Magnoliopsida; Malpighiales; Euphorbiaceae. The record is from RNAcentral.
AAGAGAUUAGGUUAACUUUUCACCCCAUUUAUAUUUAUACCUUCUUGAGGGGAUUAUAUGUUAACCUUCAAGGGCCUAGGUUAAUAAUUACCUUAUUAAAAAGUUAAAAGUUAUAAGGGUAACAUUUAACCCUUAAUUUUUUAACCUCCUACCAAACACAUCCUAAAGGUUAAAAUCCACGAGUCUAUUAGUUUUUCUGAUAUGCAUUUGUCUCAAAGUAGGGAGCAAAGCACCAUUAUAUAAUUUAUGUUAUAUGGUUGAUUAUACAUUUAAUCUUUUGGUGAUAUUUAUGGUAAAAAUGAAUUGUAAAUAGAAGAGUUUAACUGUGUAUAGUCAUAUAGAUAUUAGAAUGUAUACUAUAUUAUCAGAAUAAAAAAAUUAAACAAGAAAGUCCUGAUUAAUUAUGGAAUUCAUUUGCUCUUAAGGUUCCUGUAAUGUGAAAGCUGAAAGGUAUGCAAAAUGAAAAAAAAAAUUAAAGGAAUUGUGCAUGGAUAUAUAUCUAACAUGAACAUGCAAGUGAUAAUUUUGGAUUGCUUGGUUUAAUUUGAAGUUGGUUUUGAGUGUGAGAUCUUAAUUUUUUGUUAUAUAAAUACAUGGUAAAAGCAGCUUUAUAAGAAAUGUUGAUAUCAUUAAUAGGGUAUUAAUGUGAUUGAAAUUUCCGUGAUGUGUAAAUUUUAUAUUUUAAAUACAAGAGCCAUAUUGCAAUAAACUACAAGGCAUAGAAAUCUAAUUUUCCUUACUUAUUGCUUAUUCAGUUAUUCAAACAUGCUAAGUUUUCUUUAGGCCUAAAAUUUUCCUUUGUUCUCCUUUCUGAUAGUAUAAGCCUAUUAGCUGUUUUUAAGCUUUUUCAUGGCUAUAUUCUUGAUUUAUGUUUUUCCCAGCAACUGGCAUUUGGCUGACCUGGUUCAAUAUGGUUUUGCAUAACAGUUAAGUGAG